This 263-nucleotide ribosomal RNA is filed under the name uncultured archaeon. RNAcentral describes it as "partial 16S ribosomal RNA". It matches the Rfam family "Archaeal small subunit ribosomal RNA", at positions 748 to 1008 of the family's 1478-position model. The record is from RNAcentral.
CAGCCGUAAACUAUGCGCGUUAGGUGUACUGGUGACCACGAGUCACCGGGGUGCCGAAGGGAAACCGUGAAACGUGCCGCCUGGGAAGUACGGUCGCAAGGCUGAAACUUAAAGGAAUUGGCGGGGGGAGGCACCACAACGGGUGGAGCCUGCGGUUUAAUUGGACUCAACGCCGGAAAUCUCACCGGAUAGGACAGACAAAUGAUAGUCGGGCUGAAGACUCUACUUGAUGAUCUGAGAGGAGGUGCAUGGCGUCAGUGACU